AACGAACGCUGGCGGCAUGCCUAACACAUGCAAGUCGAACGAGACCUUCGGGUCUAGUGGCGCACGGGUGCGUAACGCGUGGGAACCUGCCCUUAGGUUCGGAAUAACUCCCCGAAAGGGGUGCUAAUACCGGAUAAUAUCUUCGGACCAAAGAUUUAUCGCCUUUGGAUGGGCCGGCGUUGGAGUAGCUAGUUGGUAGGGUAAAAGCCUACCAAGGCGACGAUCCAUAGCUGGUCUGAGAGGAUGAUCAGCCACGCUGGGACUGAGACACGGCCCAGACUACUACGGGAGGCAGCAGUGGGGAAUAUUGGACAAUGGGAGAAAGCCUGAUCCAGCAAUGCCGCGUGAGUGAUGAAGGCCUGAGGGUUGUAAAGCUCUUUUACCCGGGAUGAUAAUGACAGUACCGGGAGAAUAAGCUCCGGCUAACUCCGUG
RNAcentral lists this ribosomal RNA (433 nucleotides) under uncultured bacterium. RNAcentral describes it as "partial 16S ribosomal RNA". It matches the Rfam family "Bacterial small subunit ribosomal RNA", at positions 29 to 507 of the family's 1533-position model. The record is from RNAcentral.